RNAcentral lists this unclassified non-coding RNA (233 nucleotides) under Hevea brasiliensis (rubber tree). Lineage: Eukaryota; Viridiplantae; Streptophyta; Magnoliopsida; Malpighiales; Euphorbiaceae. The record is from RNAcentral.
AGAAAAGUGAAAUGCCUAAUUGUGCAAGUUUCCUGAUGAUGCUCCUGAAUAGAGUUUCCUUUGAAUUUCUCUAAUAAAAUUGUUAGUGAAUUAGGAUAGAGCUUCCUUUGUUUUUGAAGGCAUAGUUAUUUCUGAAGGGAAAACUAUUUGACCAAAUCCAAAAAAGUGAAUAUUAGUUUGCUACUUUGUGUGUGUACAUUUUUCUCCAAUUGGAGCCCCCUCUAGCCAUAGCA